This 332-nucleotide RNase P RNA is filed under the name Clostridia bacterium. RNAcentral describes it as "RNase P RNA component class A". It matches the Rfam family "Bacterial RNase P class A". From Rfam's summary of the family: Ribonuclease P (RNase P) is a ubiquitous endoribonuclease, found in archaea, bacteria and eukarya as well as chloroplasts and mitochondria. The record is from RNAcentral. Lineage: Bacteria; Bacillati; Bacillota; Clostridia.
UGAGUUGGUUAGACGGUUGCGGGCAGUAAUGCCUGAGGAAAGUCCGAGCCCCACAGGGCAGAAUAACGGCUAACGGCCGCCGAGGGUGACCUUAGGGAGAGUGCAACAGAGAUAUACCGCCGAAAUUUUUUCGGUAAGGGUGGAAAGGCGAGGUAAGAACUCACCGACUUCACGGGAACGUCGAAGUCCUGUAAACCCUAUUCGGAGCAACGUAAAAUGUGGCUAUACAUUUGCCCGAUGUGCCACGAAAUACGGCUAGAGCACGGAAGCAAUUCCGUGUCGAGAUAGAUGACCGUCCACGACAGAACUCGGCUUAUCGACCAACUCAUUUU